Molecule: ribosomal RNA, 484 nt
Filed under: uncultured bacterium
Lineage: Bacteria
Description: partial 16S ribosomal RNA
Rfam family: Bacterial small subunit ribosomal RNA
Source: RNAcentral
AUUGAACGCUGGCGGCAGGCCUAACACAUGCAAGUCGAGCGGAUGAAGGGAGCUUGCUCCUGGAUUCAGCGGCGGACGGGUGAGUAAUGCCUAGGCAUCUGCCUGGUAGUGGGGGAUCACGUCCGGAACCGGGCGCUAAUACCGCAUACGUCCUGAGGGAGAAAGUGGGGGAUCUUCGGACCUCACGCUCUCAGAUGAGCCUAGGUCGGAUUAGCUAGUUGGUGGGGUAAAGGCCUACCAAGGCGACGAUCCGUAACUGGUCUGAGAGGAUGAUCAGUCACACUGGAACUGAGACACGGCCCAGACUCCUACGGGAGGCAGCAGUGGGGAAUAUUGGACAAUGGGCGAAAGCCUGAUCCAGCCAUGCCGCGUGUGUGAAGAAGGUCUUCGGAUUGUAAAGCGCUUUUAGUCGGGAGGAAGAGGAGUAAGUUAAUACCUUGCUGUUUUGACGGUACCAACAGAAUAAGCACCGGCUAACUUCGUG